UUCAUCGUAUUUCAGUAGGUUAAUAAAAGAUUGUCGAUAGAAUAUAAUUUAUAUUAACUUAAUAAUUUAAUGUCGGUGACUCAGUGUUUCUUUUCUAUUAUUCUUAUUAAGUAAGACCCUACUUUUAGAAAGAAGAAAAUAAUGAUUCAACACAUUGCUGUGCAUUUAUAAACAUAACUUGGGCAUACAAGACAAAAUGAUAAACAGUGACACUCAAAAUUCAAACAAGACUCGGGUUAUUAAAGUCAUGACAGACUAUAAUAACAAAUAUUUUGUCGAUAUAUGGAAGGAAACCAUUCUAUAAGGACAAUUACGUUAAGUUAAUUGACAGCCAUUGGUUAAAAUGCAUCGUUCUACGUUCUACGUUUGAAGAAUUAUAUACUUAUGCCAUUAUGGUGUUCGGAUCAAGGCGUAACAACGUAUUCGAAAGAAAAAAAUGAAAUCGUUUACACCAACGAAACAAGAAAUGAUUAUAACCUGUGUUAUUAACAUCAACAGUUCCUGUGGAUCUUAUUUAAUAUUUUAAUAUGGUAAUGAAUUCACUUAUUGUUAUUUGAUUUUAAGUAGAUGAAUAUGAUUAAAACAAUUGUAAGUUAUUUCAAAGUGUAGGUACCUAAUGUUGGCACUUUUGCCUAUUUGGGCUCAAACUAUUAUGAAAUAUCAAUCAUAUAAUUAUAAAUUAAACGUUUUUCUUCACAACACAAGUAAAAGGGGAAAAGCUCAAACUUUUUUGGACACAGAACACAAAACCCAUCAUAUUUAAGCCUUUUUCACUUUCUAAUUUUUAAGAAAAACCAUAGAUUCUUAAACAAUUGUUUAUUUUUAUCAAUGAAGUGCAUCUAUCCAAUCGUAGUUUUUACUAUAGGUACGCAAACAAUAAUGAUUACCAAUAAUUGUAUUAAAUAUUUUAAAUAAUAUUAAUGACUAGGAAAGACUAUUCCAUUUUAUUUGUUAAACAUACACUUAAACAAAAAAAUCGAAUACUCAGUAGUCAGUGAUUUAUAUUAGACGUUAAAAAUAAAUUUACUAUCAAAUUUGAUGAUCUCGAACUUUUUAAACUCAAAAUCGUCAAUACCUCAUACUUUUUCCCUGACCCCUUACUCUUAAGUAUACAUUUCAGUGCUCCGUUAUGUUUCAACAAGUAAAAGAGUAAUUUUGAUCGUGUUUUUAUGUUUAAAUGUUCGUUCGUAAUGUCGACAUUAAAACGCAUGCAAAAGAAUUUCGUAUUCCACUUAAUACUUUGUCAACUUAUCUUAAAAAUAAAGAAAACAUUUUAAGAAAGUUGUCUACAUCCUGUAAAAAGGACAAAACAAGGGCUAGGGAAUCGAAAAAUCCUGAUGUUGAUGAAUGUGUGUUUAAAUAAACAAGUGAAAAAAAAAUUCCACUGAGCGGAAAAGCUCAAAAAAGCAAAAACAAUUUUAAAGCAAGCAGUGGAUAGCUCGAUGGUUUCAAACAAAGAAAUGGCAUUUGUCUUAAAACCAUAAUUGGUGAAAGUGGUGAUGGUUGGAAAAUAAAACUGCAACAAAUGAUAAGAGAAAAAAACUCCAAAGACAUUUUUACAGACGAAACAGGUUUAUUUUAAAUAUGUCGAUGUUUAUUAAUUGAUUGCAUUCAAGCGAAAUAUAGUCGAUUGGGUCGUUAUAGUCAUAAUCCAUAUGGUAUAUGGUUUUAUGUGUUUUUUUUUAUGAGAAUAAGUAGGGCAGGAACGAGACAUUUAUUGAGGAACAUGAAAUUGUACUAGUUCCAGAAGCUCAGGACUAGAUAUAGUUCAGUUUACAAAUUUAAUCAUGAAGUGAAUAUCAUUGCGUUGUUGUCUGUUGUCCAGACAUUCAAAGCGGAGGCUGUUUUGAAUCAUAUUUCUUGGUAUAGAUAAGAAAGGAGAGAGGUCACCAGUAUUACGUUGUCGUUUGUAGCUAAUAUAUCGUAAAAAUUUCCUCUGAACACGCUCGAGUGAUUCAGUCAAACCUAUUUGCGUCGGAUUCCAUAAAAUUUAACAAUAUUCAAGUAUUGAUCCAACAUUUGAGACAUGUAGUGUUUUUAGUGUAUAGGGGUGUAGUGCAUACCAUUAAUUGUAUUUCUAUACUGUUAAAUAAAAAUAUCGAUGGCAGAUUUUGAUCAUUUUGAAGUACCCAAUAGGAAGGUUGGCCAGGAAACAGAAAUGUAAAAGACGAACAAUAGAUUUGGAAUUAUUGUUAGAUUGGCGAUUGUGCUAUAAACAUGAUCAUGGGCCCCAUAUACCGCGGUGGCAAUGCUUGGAAUAUUUGAACACAAGAAAAUUAUAUUUUUAGACUAAAAUUUGAUUAUUUAUACAUGUUUAUAUAAAUUUAAUAGACGUUAUAAAUGUUAUAAUAAUUAUUGACGAUUUUUUUCGACAAAAUGUCCUAAUGAUUACCUUUUUAUCCCCGAUGAAACUUUAAAAGAUUUGAUGCAAUGUUAAUAACAUAGUUAUGACUGUCGUGGUCCACAGCAGGUGCAAGUGCUUAGUAGCAGCUAGGGACUAAAAUGAAGGCAAUAUCUGUGAGCCAAUAAUGUGACGCAAGCCAGAAAAUGUUACAAAAAUCGAAUGAUUUUAACGCCAUAUAAUAUGUACAUGACCGAUAAAAAAAACUAUUGAAAUCAAUUGAUAUAAAAUUUAAAAUAAGAAAAAUAAUAAUUAGGUAAUAUUUGGUAAUUUGUAGAUAAUUCAUUAAUAGUUUAUAAAUAAUAAUCUAAAAAUCAUAAUAUUUAAAAAAUAAUACUACUAGGGUGAACUCACUGGGUUUAACUUUUAUAUGUGGCACAGCAUUUGAUACGUAUCCCCCCCCCCCCCCAACACCACCAGACUGUUCGAUGUCAGUCCAUUAUAAUAUAAUAAUAUCUUAGAUAUUAGAUAUUAUCUUAGUCCCUGGUAGAAGCACUGCUGUGUACCGCCCAUGAUCGCUCUUUCCAACUGCGAAAAUGGGGCACAAACACCAUGACUUUUGCUAUAUAUAUUUUUUUCUAUUUUUAAAGCGAAGCUUCUUAACGCUUGUUCUACGUAGUGAAAUGGGAAAAAAGGUUACCAAAAAAAGACCCGCGUGACGCUCUCUCUUAACACGGGACCGACCGCAUCGCGUUCAGCGACUCAUGCGCGCCGCGCCGGGGUCCGAGUCUGCACGCCGGCCGGCGCUCUGUUUCUGACUCAGCUGUCACCCGACCUGGUGUCUCUUAAUGGAAACAAACAAAUACCGUUACAAGAUAUCAGUUUCCAUUAAUUCCUGCGAUGGCUAUAACCAUACACAAGUCACAAAGUGCAUCAUUUGAUGAAAUAGUUUACGAAUAUGACAAAAAUCAUUACCUACAAUUAGUGUACGUCGCUUUAUCUCGUGUCACUAGUAUUGGUCCUAGGCGUUUUACCUUUUUAUUUUUAAAAAAAUUAAUCAAAAUUUCCUAUUAUUAAAAUUUAAAAUUAUAAAUUAAUUUAAUCAAUAAAACGAAAAGAAUCCGAGUAAAUAAGCUUAUAAAUCAAGUAACUAAUAACUAAUAACCUGUUAAUAAUAUAAUGAAUAAUAAGCCAUGACCAUUAAAAUAUAUUAAACGUUUCCAAAAUAUAAACUUUUAAUCCUAAUAAGUAAUAUUACUCUUAAAAUUAUAAUUUACCGUAAAAUCGACAUGAUAUUUUAUUCUUUACAAAAAAAAAAAAAAAAUUAAAACGCAUGAAAUAAAUUACCUGUACACUUUAGAUUAUUAUAGUUAUGAUAAUAUAUUUAUCGAAUAGUAUAUAAGGAUUCUAGAGAUAAACAAUGCGUUCCAUUUAUACAUAUAAUAUUAGAUUUUUAUUAUAAUUUAUAAUAUAUUUUAGAGAUUAGAUUUUGAAUGAUGACGUUAGUCUGAAAAUAUAUAUUUAUAAUCGUAAUUCCAGAUUUCAGAGUUUCAAAAGCGUAAAUUAAAAGGCCAACUCGUUAAUGUUGGUUUCGUAUGAGGUGCUAAACAUAGUACUCUAUAAGGAUUAUAAUAAGUGGUAGUGAGUUAAUAAAUUGAGUGAAGUAAAUGUGCGAUUUAAUUCAUAUCUAUAAUGGAAUAUAAAAGACUGGAAAAUACGUGUAUAAUGGAAAAAAAGAUGGAACUUAAAACCAUUAUAAUUUAGACUAGACUAAAAUAAUUAUUAUACCUAGUUAUAAAAUAAAAGAAUAAUAUUAUUUUUUACGUUAUGUUGAGACAUUAGGAGUACCUACCUACAUAUAUGACGAUAGUGGCACUAUUUUUAAAAUAAUGGAUUAUAUUAAAUUACAUUAAAAUAUUAUAUUCACAUACCUACUAUAUUAAUGAUACUUAUAUUAUGAAAAAUGUAGCUAUUGGUUCCAUAGUAUUUACCUCUAAAAUUGAUUUAUGAAUAUUUUUAAAAAGCAUAUAAAGAAAUUAUAAAAAAACGAAUUUGCAUCUUUGUGAUUAGUAAUUAUAUAAAAAAAGAUUCACUGUUACCUGGUACAGGGUUAUAUUAUGUAAUGCUUUGACCAGAUAUAGUAUCGAUUCGGCACAGCUUUUUUCGUCCUAGAGAUCCGGAGCCCGGUUUUUUUGAUUAAUUUUGAAUGUUAAAAAUAAAAAUCAUAGACAAUACCAUGACAUUUGUGUUAAAUAAAAAGUUAAGAAUCUCAAACCUUUGAAAAAA
This is a long non-coding RNA of Metopolophium dirhodum (rose-grain aphid), 4627 nucleotides long. RefSeq lists it as uncharacterized. NCBI's taxonomy places the organism in Eukaryota, Metazoa, Arthropoda, Insecta, Hemiptera, Aphididae. The record is from RefSeq and is a predicted model, not a curated record. The transcript has 3 exons.